GAUGAACGCUGGCGGCGUGCCUAAUACAUGCAAGUCGAGCGAACAGACGAGGAGCUUGCUCCUCUGACGUUAGCGGCGGACGGGUGAGUAACACGUGGAUAACCUACCUAUAAGACUGGGAUAACUUCGGGAAACCGGAGCUAAUACCGGAUAAUAUAUUGAACCGCAUGGUUCAAUAGUGAAAGACGGUUUUGCUGUCACUUAUAGAUGGAUCCGCGCCGCAUUAGCUAGUUGUUAAGUUAACGGCUUACCAAGGCAACGAUGCGUAGCCGACCUGAGAGGGUGAUCGGCCACACUGGAACUGAGACACGGUCCAGACUCCUACGGGAGGCAGCAGUAGGGAAUCUUCCGCAAUGGGCGAAAGCCUGACGGAGCAACGCCGCGUGAGUGAUGAAGGUCUUCGGAUCGUAAAACUCUGUUAUUAGGGAAGAACAAAUGUGUAAGUAACUAUGCACGUCUUGACGGUACCUAAUCAGAAAGCCACGGCUAACUACGUG
This 497-nucleotide ribosomal RNA is filed under the name uncultured bacterium. Its description in RNAcentral is "partial 16S ribosomal RNA". It matches the Rfam family "Bacterial small subunit ribosomal RNA", at positions 28 to 507 of the family's 1533-position model. The record is from RNAcentral.